UACGUAGGGUGCAAGCGUUGUCCGGAAUUAUUGGGCGUAAAGAGCUCGUAGGCGGUCUGUUGCGUCGGCUGUGAAAACCCGGAGCUCAACUCCGGGCCUGCAGUCGAUACGGGCGGACUGGAGUGUUGCAGGGGAGACUGGAAUUCCUGGUGUAGCGGUGAAAUGCGCAGAUAUCAGGAGGAACACCGGUGGCGAAGGCGGGUCUCUGGGCAACUACUGACGCUGAGGAGCGAAAGCGUGGGGAGCGAACAGG
RNAcentral lists this ribosomal RNA (253 nucleotides) under uncultured bacterium. RNAcentral describes it as "partial 16S ribosomal RNA". It matches the Rfam family "Bacterial small subunit ribosomal RNA", at positions 524 to 776 of the family's 1533-position model. The record is from RNAcentral.